AGUGAACGCUGGCGGCGUGCCUAAUACAUGCAAGUCGAACGGUGUGGCUCUCGGGCUUGUAAUUUAUAUCUAAUCUGCCCUACUCUAGAGGACAACAGCUGGUAACGGCUGCUAAUACUCCCUAGUUUAGUAGGUGGCUAUAUUGUUUCAGCUAGUUGGUGAGGUAAUGGCUCACCAAGGCUAUGACGCAUACCUGGUCUGAGAGGAUGAUCAGUCACACUGGAACUGAGAAACGGUCCAGACUCCUACGGGAGGCAGCAGUAGGGAAUAUUGCUCAAUGGGGGAAACCCUGAAGCAGCAACGCCGCGUGGAGGAUGACACUUUUCGGAGCGUAAACUCCUUUUGUUAGGGAAGCGGAACCUAAGGAAAAAGCACCGGCUAACUCCGUGCCAGCAGCCGCGGUAAUA
Molecule: ribosomal RNA, 407 nt
Filed under: uncultured bacterium
Lineage: Bacteria
Description: partial 16S ribosomal RNA
Rfam family: Bacterial small subunit ribosomal RNA
Source: RNAcentral